RNAcentral lists this ribosomal RNA (613 nucleotides) under Klebsiella planticola. RNAcentral describes it as "bacterial SSU rRNA". It matches the Rfam family "Bacterial small subunit ribosomal RNA", at positions 41 to 654 of the family's 1533-position model. RNAcentral also lists the same sequence under 1 other name. Lineage: Bacteria; Pseudomonadati; Pseudomonadota; Gammaproteobacteria; Enterobacterales; Enterobacteriaceae. The record is from RNAcentral.
GGCAGGCCUAACACAUGCAAGUCGAGCGGUAGCACAGAGAGCUUGCUCUCGGGUGACGAGCGGCGGACGGGUGAGUAAUGUCUGGGAAACUGCCUGAGGGAGGGGGAUAACUACUGGGAACGGUAGCUAAUACCGCAUAAUGUCGCAAGACCAAAGAGGGGGACCUUCCGGCCUCUUGCCAUCAGAUGUGCCCAGAUGGGAUUAGCUAGUAGGUGGGGGAAUGGCUCACCUAGGCGACGAUCCCUAGCUGGUCUGAGAGGAUGACCACCCACACUGGAACUGAGACACGGUCCACACUCCUACGGGAGGCAGCAGGGGGGAAUAUUGCACAAUGGGCGCAAGCCUGAUGCAGCCAUGCCGCGUGUGUGAAGAAGGCCUUCGGGUUGUAAAGCACUUUCAGCGAGGAGGAAGGCAUUAAGGUUAAUAACCUUAUUGAUUGACGUUACUCGCAAAAGAAGCACCGGCUAACUCCCUGCCAGCAGCCGCGGAAAUACGGAGGGUGCGAGCGUUAAUCGGAAUUACUGGGCGUAAAACGCACGCAGGCGGGUGGUAUCCGGAUGUAAAAUCUCCGGUUUCAGCCGGGGGACUCCAUUCCAAAACUGGGGGGGCUACA